This 1346-nucleotide long non-coding RNA is filed under the name Daucus carota (carrot). RNAcentral describes it as "long non-coding RNA (DCAR_LNC001540)". The record is from RNAcentral. Lineage: Eukaryota; Viridiplantae; Streptophyta; Magnoliopsida; Apiales; Apiaceae.
UAAGCAAAGCGAAGUGAUGAAUAGAGUAUAGCUAGAGAUGGUCUAGAGAUUAUGAGAUGCAUAGAUGGUGAAAGUGGAAAGAUGAGAAUGAGCUGUGAGAUGGGAGUCAGAUUUAAGGCAAGUAUCCUAUACCCUUCUUUUGGAUAUCUUGCGAUUAUUCUGAUCCAUUAUUCUCGUAUGUGUUGCAAAUAUUCGUUCCUCUCUUUUUCAUAUUUGGCAAGUGCAAAUAUUUUUAUCCAUCCUUUUCUAAUCCUCAAAAAUUCAGAUAAUUCCAGUUUUACAAAUUAAUUCGAAGUUCAGAUUGUCAUUGAAGCAUGUGUUGCUCAGUGAUGAUUAGAACCUAGAAUGACUUGGGAUCUUCUUGAUUAUUCAACCCGCCAUUGUCAUGCUGGUUUAGCAGGCUAAAUUCAGUUGCUUAGCCGAUAAUGGAGGAUACUGAAUAGUUAAGGAUUUCCUGAACUAUGAUUUAUGGAAGGAUGGACUCUGGUUUAUGAAAAGUUGAUUAUCAAAGUUUGAUUUGGAAUUAUUCUAUCAUGGAUAUUGAUUGUGUUUAUGUUCUGUUGUUAUACGUUGACCUGUUAUUGAAUUAUAGAAUUGGAUUAUUGUUUUUAUAUAAACCUGUGGACCAGAUUCGUGGUCAUGUUAGGCCAAUGAGUGCCUUGGAUCCAGUGAUAGAGCAUGGCGGGGCCUGCUCGGGGUUAGUGCGGAACUGAUCAGCUGCCUAACCUUGGUUUUAAUUAAAAUGUAAUAGUCCAAUUCAAUAAUUCUUUGGAAAGAUUGAAUUUCUCAGUUUAAAUGAUGCAAGGUAUUGUAAAUCAUUCUAUACAAUACCAUGAACUCAUGAACUCAGGUUGAAUUCUCUUAUAUCUUGAACUCGUGAACUUCUGUUAUAUCAUUUCAGAACUAUCAUUGUUUAUUAUUACUUGCUGAGCAUUGUUGCUCACCCUUGCUAUUCCUUUCUAACCAUUUCAGAAAGGCUGAAAGAUAAGAUGAUUGAUUGAGAUUGUGGAUAAGGCUAAUGCUAGGCGAGGAGACAGAGUUGAGGAUCCAGUGGUCGAGGAGUAUUCAGGAAAGUUGAUAAGGUUGGUGCUAGCUAGAGUUAUGCUAUGAAGUUUCAGAUGUAAGUCAUGGCUGGAGUAAGUUGACAGUGAUUCUUCUUAUCGAAGAUGAUCUGAUUUGGUAAGGGAUGUUGUGUAGUAUUAGUGGUGGAUUCUAAUUUCAAUACUGUAACCUGGAAGCGAUCCUGUUGUUUUUGGGGGUUAAAAUGUUCUCUUUCGAAUCAGCUAUUAAAGUUUAAAUGUUCUCUGAAAAGUUCUUUUAUGAUGGUUUUCAAAUUUAAAAUUCAG